This 253-nucleotide ribosomal RNA is filed under the name uncultured bacterium. RNAcentral's name for it is "partial 16S ribosomal RNA". It matches the Rfam family "Bacterial small subunit ribosomal RNA", at positions 524 to 776 of the family's 1533-position model. The record is from RNAcentral.
AACGUAGGGGACAAGCGUUAUCCGGAUUUACUAGGCGUAAAGCGCCCGUAGGCGGCUUUUUAAGUUGGACGUGAAAGCUCCCGGCUUAACUGGGAGAGGCCGUUCAAAACUGAGAGGCUAGAGUGAGGCAGAGGAGCGCGGAAUUCCCGGUGUAGUGGUGGAAUGCGUAGAUAUCGGGAAGAACACCCGUGGCGAAGGCGGUUCUCUGGGACGGUACUGACGCUGAGACGCGAAAGCGUGGGGAGCGAACAGG